This is a long non-coding RNA of Clupea harengus (Atlantic herring), 869 nucleotides long. The record is from Ensembl. Lineage: Eukaryota; Metazoa; Chordata; Actinopteri; Clupeiformes; Clupeidae.
UUACAGGCCGAUUCUUUUUGAGUAGGUCAAGAUGCAGAGAGUGGUGUUCUUCCCAGGGAAGGUAAGUGUUGUGUUCCGCAGGGGACCACUCGGAUUUCUCAGACAGGACCCGUCUGUAGAAGCUAGACGGAUUAAGGAUGACCCCACUCGGCAGGACAAGUCUGCUCCUAUGAGGGAGGACCUCGUGCGGCAGAAUGCUCUGGCUGUGGUCCGUCAGAGAGGGGGGGAUGCCUCAGACAGGACGGAGGUGCUAGGAGACUACAUCCUGCAGUUUGGAAAGUAUAAAGGGAAGGCUUUCAGGUGGCUUUUGGAGAAUGAUAUAGGCUACACAUCUUAUCUUAUCAAGAAUCUCCGUAAGGAGGAGGCUGCAGGUAUCUGUAGGGCCGAGGGGCAUAGCAAGGAUAGCCUACUGUCGUUUGUGAAUUUUGCUCUCAGUUUUUCAGAGAUCCAGUCUCUUCUCGCCUAUGAGGCCAGUGGAGUGGGAGUUGUGGCAGCCUCAUCAGAAGAUGACCAGCUGGUUGGCUUUGGGACCCGGGCUAAGAGCACCUGGAAGGAGACAUGGGACAGCAGAUCUGAUGGCUACGCAGCCUUCAUCAUGGGGAAGAGCUGCGUCCCAGGGACACGUAUGUACAAGCUGCAGCAGUACCUACGGAAGAGGCAGCAAUCCGCCUCUGCUUCCACACCUGCUGAGCCUGCCUCAAGAGCCCAAGCUAAACCCCUGAUGAUGGAUGAGGAUGAAGAACUGGAGAGGGCGAUGUUGAGCAUCUCACCCUCUAAGCUACAACUGCAGAGCUUUGCUGUACCAGUAGCAGCAGCAACAGCAACAGCAGCAGCUGCCAUACCAGGAGUGUCACCAGGAGCAAAGACAG